This is a long non-coding RNA of Harpia harpyja (harpy eagle), 1001 nucleotides long. RefSeq lists it as uncharacterized. NCBI's taxonomy places the organism in Eukaryota, Metazoa, Chordata, Aves, Accipitriformes, Accipitridae. The record is from RefSeq and is a predicted model, not a curated record. The transcript has 3 exons.
UGCAGGGGCAGGGAUAAUAUGCUGUGGGGCUUUGGCAAUGGCCCCUGUUCCUGAUGGGCUCCAGCUGGGGCUGGGAUGGCCCCAGGUGUGGCCAGUGAGGUUGAGGAUGGGGCUGGCCCUGCUGUGUGAAGGGGCUCCAGCUGUAAAGGGGGCUGCCUGGGCAGGGGAACUGGCUGAGGAGGGAGUCCAAGGGGGUCUGGCUGGUAGGUGCCUGCAGCAAGGAAUGGCCAGUCCCUGUGGCAAGGAAGGAUCCCUCUGAGCUGUUCCUGGCCUCUGUUGGCUACACGCGUGAGCUGCCACGUAUCAAGGAAGCCUUGUGGAUGAGGAGCAUUGAGGCGUCCGCUGCGUGCUGCCGAGUGGGUGAGGGUCAGGCAGCCGGCACUGGGGAGGAGGAAGGGGCAGAGGCAGAGAGAGAAACGUCGGGGCAGUGAAGGUCUCCUGCCGGCACCAGGAGCUGUGGUGAGUCGCACAUCCUCUCCUCUACAUCCUGGCCCACCUCUGCCUCCCUUCCUCCGUCUCCCUCUCUGCCUGCCCACCUAUGUGUAUGGCUCCUCAAAACUUGUUAUUCUUCUGUCAACUCUGCCCAGUACCCUGUUGCCUUUUAAAUGUUUAAUAUGCCUCUCUCUAACCAGCUGCUUCUCCCUGUUUUUUAUUUUUUCUGCACCGCCUUGUACCCCAUUACUUUUAAAAUUUAAUUUCUAUGUUUUCCCCUCUCUGUCUCCCUGACCCUAUAUUUUAAUUCUUCCCUCUUUGUCCUGUACCCAGUUGCUUGAGACUGGCUGGGCAUCGGUCAGUUGGUGGUUUCUUAUAGGCACCCUUUACAUACCAUGAAGUCUGCUAUAAGGUCUCCUGCAAAGCUGCAUGCCAGUGAGCGGUCCGAGAAGAUGUUGAAGACCAAUGUGUCACCUUGAGGAACAUCCCAGUUAGCCUGUGUGGUUUUUGUGGAGGAUGGACUCAGCCCCUCGGCCCUCUGAAAGCUACGUUGAGGGACCAGGGCUGGG